UACGUAGGGGGCAAGCGUUGUCCGGAUUUACUGGGCGUAAAGGGCGCGUAGGCGGCAAUUCAAGUCAGCUGUGAAAUCUCCGAGCUUAACUCGGAACGGUCAGCUGAUACUGUUUUGCUAGAGUGCAGAAAGGGCAACCGGAAUUCUUGGUGUAGCGGUGAAAUGCGUAGAUAUCAAGAGGAACACCUGAGGCGAAGGCGGGUUGCUAGGCUGACACUGACGCUGAGGCGCGAAAGCUAGGGUAGCAAACGGG
RNAcentral lists this ribosomal RNA (253 nucleotides) under uncultured bacterium. RNAcentral's name for it is "partial 16S ribosomal RNA". It matches the Rfam family "Bacterial small subunit ribosomal RNA", at positions 524 to 776 of the family's 1533-position model. The record is from RNAcentral.